CUCGUCCGUCUAUUCUGGAAGCAACGACACUUCCUGAUUGGCUGUGGAGCACCUUACCGCUAGAGAAAGCCAUGCAACAUCCGUGUCCUACCCGCCUCUGGUUGCAUCUGGGUCCCAUGGCUGGCCCGGUCCACGCAUCAGUGUCUACGGGUCGUUUUCAGUUUGGGCUCGCUGGCGCCGGCCGUGGAAAAUAUCUCUCCACGCGGGGUAGAUCGGGCCUUUCCUCGCCAAUCGCCGCGCGUGCUCUCUUCCCCCUAUCCCCACUCCUCUUCCUGUCGCCGUCUCCUCCGCUCCCGUCCGCGUGCGGCGGCGGCCGCCGCCAUCCCCGCCGCUAGCCCCUCUUCCUCCCCCACGUCCCUCUCUAGAACUCCACUUUACCGGAAGAGAGAUGGGAGGCCAGUGGAGCGAUGACAUCAACCGUGCUGAGCAGCGAGCGGGAGCGCCGAAGGUGGAGCGACGACAUCGAGGGAGCUGAGCAGCCCAGCAAGGAGUUGUGCACGAAGGGGCGGAGCAGGUGGUUCCCUUCCCCAUCCCUCGGUCGCCGCCCUUCGCGCCGCCGGCCGGCUAGAGCGUCGUUGCGGGCCGGCUUGCGUGUGCGUGCAGGGAAAAGGCAAAGAUUUCAGCUCUGCAUCGAUGGGAUCCGGUCAAAACUUGGUUCGAGGGAUCGAUGCAGGAAGCCAAGAAGCGGGCUAGGGUGGAGCGAUGUGGCGAUGUGCAGCUCCUGCGGGUGGCAGAUCGAUUCGGAGGUGACUGGUUGGAGAGGGCCUGCUGCUUCUUUGGGGUGGAUGCGUGAGGAUCUGGUACAUGUGGCCAGCAUGGUGUUGCAGCGACGGGACAAGUUCACGGCUCAAACUUCAUCUCAGUUUCAGGUUUGGAACUUUCUUGUUAACCUCCAUUGUCCAUCCUGGAUUUUCUUAGUGUCGUGUGGAGAAGGACUGGUGAAUAGAGGCUUGACGGAGGACGAAUAUAGACCGUCGGUGGCGAGCUGCAUCUCCCAUCGGUCUCCAUUCUCCAUCCCUGGCUUGUCUUAGUGUCGUGUUGUGGCUGGCCAGGCUCUGCCGGUCGCUCGAGCUCGGCCAUGGCCGCUGCUGCCGAGAUGGAGACGAGGAUGGUCUGUCAAGUUCCCACAGGGUGGUCAGCCACAUUGUUCAUACCCCCAUCACUACCAUCACCUCCCGCCCAGCGGUCUUGAGACUGAAUACAUGUAUUAGUCGAUUGGGUCGAUCGGGUCUUAUUGGUAAGAAGCUGUCUGCCUCACUGCGUAUGGACCAAUAACUUCGGAAACCCAACUUCCAACCUUGAAUCUAAUGAUUUGACGACAAUUUCUCUGUUGUAGAACACCCCGGUACCGCAUUCUCGCUUUGCACCACCGUUUCGGCCAAAGGUUCAGAUCUUCGACUCACGUAAUAUACUCCUAAAUUAAGCGUACAGUUGGAUUAGAUCAGGUGGCUGUCAGCGCUCAUGAGGCCUCUGAACAAAUUAAAUCUAAUGUGAUGUCUGAUUGUCUCUAGGAUGAGGAGCGAGGACGUAUCAGAUGGCUGAUUCGACCAUGGUCCCUGUCAGAUUCGCUCCCAGCGCAGCCAAGAUGCAUUUGCGCUACUCCAUGACGCGGAGUGCUCUGAACAGCAUCGGCGGCAAGUUGGAGCACGGGGGGCUCGUAUAGCAGAUAGGGAACGGCAUAAUUUCAAGUUCCAGAUGGCCUAGGUGAUGCUUGGAGGACGAUCUGGCGCUUACAUCUGGUGGCUGAUGUCAACAAGUACCUGGACAUAUCGCUCACCCCCAUGAAAGGGGAAUGGAGACAGGGAUCCGACUAAGCUGAAAGUACUUACUCGUUUCAGUAGGCCAACUUAAUCUUCAUCCAUCUUUAUUCAGUUUCUAUUGCUUCAUAUUAACUAUAUACUACGGAGUACUAUUUAUGAGGAGUAAAUUAUUGAUGUAUAACAUCAGCUUAAUUAUCCUCACACUCGUUCUAUGUAACUGAUCAAGAUCACCUGGGACAUUGUGCAUCAUCGAGGCAAAAAAGAAUCAAUGGAGACAGGGAUCGAAGUAAGCUGAAAGUACAUACUCGUUUCAGUAGGCCACCUCCAUCUUCAUCCAUCUUUAUUCAGUUUCACUAUUGUUUCAUAUUGACUAUACAUUUAUGAGAAGUAAAUUAUUGAUGUAUAACAUGAACUUAUAUAUCCUCACACUCGUUCUAUUUAACUGAUCAUAUACUAGCUGAAUAAUAAACAUGUUAGUUGCGCUUAUAAUGUUUAUCAAGGAAUACAUGUUUGCUGUGGUAACUGUUCCUAGGUAUGUAGAUAUUUUUUGCCUUGAUAUUUUUCAACGCAUAAUAUGGUUAUUUGACAUUUGGAGCAGUCAAUGCAAGGGUGCAGUUACAACUUUGUCAUGGAUCGUCUAUCUGAAUUGACAUAUAUCGAUGGACUUUAAUUUCUGGUACUUAUAUUUAUAGUUCUACAUUUUCUGGGCUGCUCUGUAUUUAUUCUAUAUCUUCAAGACGUUAUAUGAUUGCAAAGGAGAAAUGGAUGCCUAGAACAAGCAGUCUUGCAUAUCUGAUUAAAAACUCAUUCCUGAAGUUGAUGCCAUUCGACUAGAGUAUUGAUCAUUUCGUCUCCAUAACCUCAUUCUGUGUUAAUUGGAUUGACUAUACCCUAUCGGCUUUUGUAAUUUGGUACUAAAAUAGAAUUUUUGUUUAUUGCAGGACUAACAGAUCGACCAACAACAGAUCAGCAAGGCCUUACUAUAUUCACAUAUAACUCUGAAGAUAUUGAAAAGGCAGAGC
Non-coding RNA from Lolium perenne, 2782 nucleotides. The record is from RefSeq and is a predicted model, not a curated record. Lineage: Eukaryota; Viridiplantae; Streptophyta; Magnoliopsida; Poales; Poaceae.